This 382-nucleotide ribosomal RNA is filed under the name uncultured eukaryote. RNAcentral's name for it is "partial 18S ribosomal RNA". It matches the Rfam family "Eukaryotic small subunit ribosomal RNA", at positions 592 to 976 of the family's 1831-position model. The record is from RNAcentral.
UGUAAGCGUAUACCAAAGUUGUUGCAGUUAAAACGCUCGUAGUCGGAAUUUGGCAGUUCCGGAAGUGUGCACGUCGUGUGCGCACUUUGCGGGGACUGCUUUUGUGGUCUUGCGUAGGAUGAGGCACUUUCAUUAGUGAACGUCCUCACGCAACCACUCUUUACUGUGAGAAAAUAAGAGUGCUCAAAGCAGGCAUUUGCCGUGAAUGUAUUAGCAUGGAAUAAUAGAAUAGGACUCGGUUCUAUUUUGUUGGUUUGUUGGGACUGAGUAAUGAUUAAGAGGGACAGUUGGGGGCAUUUGUAUUCCGGCGCUAGAGGUGAAAUUCUUAGAUUGCCGGAAGACAAACUGCUGCGAAAGCGUCUGCCAAGGAUGUUUUCAUUGA